RNAcentral lists this unclassified non-coding RNA (334 nucleotides) under Hevea brasiliensis (rubber tree). Lineage: Eukaryota; Viridiplantae; Streptophyta; Magnoliopsida; Malpighiales; Euphorbiaceae. The record is from RNAcentral.
GAUUAUAAAGAUAAAAAAAAUUCCAAAAAAAAAAACAAAAAGAAAGUUAGGGGACUGAAUUGUAAAUAAGGAGUAAAUGGGAAGAAAUAAGUUGAAGAGAGGCAUGAAUUAAGAGAAUUUUUUUUUUAUAAGGGAUUAAGAGCAAGUUUAGGCCAAAUCAUAGCUUGGAUUAAGGAAGAAUUAGUUGUUAAGUUGGGAUUAAUGAAAUGUUGGCAAGUGGGGGUUCUUUUUUUAUAAUGUGAAAAUGGUGAUUUGGGAAGGCUUAAUUAUUAUGAAAAUAAAAAGUUUUAGCAAGUUUUUAUUAAUUGCUCUUUGCUAAUGAGUUGAAUCUUUG